Molecule: ribosomal RNA, 312 nt
Filed under: Yersinia enterocolitica
Lineage: Bacteria; Pseudomonadati; Pseudomonadota; Gammaproteobacteria; Enterobacterales; Yersiniaceae
Description: partial 23S ribosomal RNA
Rfam family: Bacterial large subunit ribosomal RNA
Source: RNAcentral
CUGUAAGCCGUUGAAGGUGACCUGUGAGGGUUGCUGGAGGUAUCAGAAGUGCGAAUGCUGACAUAAGUAACGAUAAUGCGGGUGAAAAACCCGCACGCCGGAAGACCAAGGGUUCCUGUCCAACGUUAAUCGGGGCAGGGUGAGUCGACCCCUAAGGCGAGGCUGAAAAGCGUAGUCGAUGGGAAACAGGUUAAUAUUCCUGUACUUGGUGUUACUGCGAAGGGGGGACGGAGAAGGCUAGGCUAGCCGGGCGACGGUUGUCCCGGUUUAAGCAUGUAGGCGGAGUGACUUGGUAAAUCCGGUUGCUUAUCA